GCAGUCGAUCGGUAACGCGGGGGCACCCUGGCGACGAGAGGCGGACGNNNGAGGAACGCUUGGGAAUCUGCCUAUCAGCGGGGGACAACCCGGGGAAACUCGGGCUAAUACCGCAUACGCUCUACGGAGGAAAGCCGGGGACCGCAAGGCCUGGCACUGAUAGAUGAGCCCAAGUCGGAUUAGCUAGUUGGCGGGGUAACGGCCCACCAAGGCGACGAUCCGUAGCUGGUCUGAGAGGACGAUCAGCCACACUGGGACUGAGACACGGCCCAGACUCCUACGGGAGGCAGCAGUGGGGAAUAUUGGACAAUGGGGGAAACCCUGAUCCAGCGACGCCGCGUGGGUGAAGAAGGCCUGCGGGUUGUAAAGCCCUUUCGGUAGGGACGAAAGCUCUCGACCUAACACGUCGGGAGGUUGACUUAACCUACAAAAGAAGCACCGGCUAACUCUGUGCCAGCAGCCGCGGUAAUACAGAGGGUGCGAGCGUUAAUCGGAAUUACUGGGCGUAAAGCGCACGUAGGCGGCUUGGUAUGUCGGGUGUGAAAUCCCCGGGCUCAACCUGGGAACUGCAUCCGAAACUGCCUUGCUCGAGUAUGGGAGAGGGAAGCGGAAUUUCCGGUGUAGCGGUGAAAUGCGUAGAUAUCGGAAGGAACAUCAGUGGCGAAGGCGGCUUCCUGGACCAAUACUGACGCUCAGGUGCGAAAGCGUAGGGAGCAAACAGGAUUAGAUACCCUGGUAGUCCACGCCCUAAACGAUGACAACUGGAUGUCG
This 771-nucleotide ribosomal RNA is filed under the name uncultured bacterium. RNAcentral's name for it is "bacterial SSU rRNA". It matches the Rfam family "Bacterial small subunit ribosomal RNA", at positions 57 to 825 of the family's 1533-position model. The record is from RNAcentral.